ACUCCUACGGGAGGUAGCAGUGGGGAAUAUUGCACAAUGGGCGCAAGCCUGAUGCAGCCAUGCCGCGUGUAUGAAGAAGGCCUUCGGGUUGUAAAGUACUUUCAGCAGUGAGGAAGGUGGGUAUGUUAAUAGCAUACUCAUUUGACGUUAGCUGCAGAAGAAGCACCGGCUAACUCCGUGCCAGCAGCCGCGGUAAUACGGAGGGUGCGAGCGUUAUCCGGAUUUAUUGGGUUUAAAGGGUCCGUAGGCGGGUUAAUAAGUCAGUGGUGAAAUCCCAUCGCUUAACGAUGGAACUGCCAUUGAUACUGUUAGUCUUGAAUGAGGGUGCAGUGGUUGGAAUGUGUAGUGUAGCGGUGAAAUGCAUAGAUAUUACACAGAACACCGAUUGCGAAGGCAGAUCACUAACCCUAAAUUGACGCUGAGGGACGAAAGCGUGGGGAGCGAACAGGAUUAGAUACCCUGGUAGGAUAGCGU
Molecule: ribosomal RNA, 474 nt
Filed under: uncultured bacterium
Lineage: Bacteria
Description: bacterial SSU rRNA
Rfam family: Bacterial small subunit ribosomal RNA
Source: RNAcentral